This 161-nucleotide microRNA precursor is filed under the name Picea abies (Norway spruce). RNAcentral's name for it is "miR399b stem-loop (pab-MIR399b)". Its record names the gene pab-MIR399b. The record is from miRBase by way of RNAcentral. Lineage: Eukaryota; Viridiplantae; Streptophyta; Pinopsida; Pinales; Pinaceae.
UGUGGCGACCAUUUGCGGUGCAACUCUCCUUGGGCUGGCAGGAAUACGGACUUAUAAUAAGAACGCCACUCUACCCAUGGCAUCAUCAUGAAUGAUUAUUGGAGGCGGCUAGUCUAUUCCACAUCCGCCAAAGGAGAGUUGCCCUGCGAUUGCUCUUCACA